CCUGAACGCUGGCGGCGUGGCUAAGACAUGCAAGUCGUACGGAGGUAGCAAUACCUCAGUGGCGAACGGGUGAGUAAUGAAUCGCUAACGUGCCCCGGACUCUGGGAUAGCCGGUCGAAAGGCCGGGUAAUACCAGAUGAUAUACCUUUAUCGCAUGAUAGAGGUCUCAAAGGUCCGCCGGUCUGGGAGCGGGCGAUUUCGUAUCAGCUAGUUGGUGAGGUAACGGCUCACCAAGGCGACGACGCGUAGCCGGACUGAGAGGUUGGCCGGCCACAUU
This 277-nucleotide ribosomal RNA is filed under the name uncultured bacterium. Its description in RNAcentral is "partial 16S ribosomal RNA". It matches the Rfam family "Bacterial small subunit ribosomal RNA", at positions 30 to 314 of the family's 1533-position model. The record is from RNAcentral.